UGAACACAUAGGCUCCAGAUGAUAAACCC
Molecule: non-coding RNA, 29 nt
Filed under: Mus musculus (house mouse)
Lineage: Eukaryota; Metazoa; Chordata; Mammalia; Rodentia; Muridae
Source: RNAcentral